RNAcentral lists this small RNA (1385 nucleotides) under Pan troglodytes (chimpanzee). Its description in RNAcentral is "processed transcript". The record is from RNAcentral. Lineage: Eukaryota; Metazoa; Chordata; Mammalia; Primates; Hominidae.
UUCUUUUGAGUCUAAAAUCUUAGACACUAAGGCUUAGAAAAUCUGGUUUUUGUUUGUUUUGUUCUUAAAUCGGGGAGUAUCUACCAAAGCUCCUUCCAAAUCUCAGGAUUCUGGGAAUUUGUAGUGUCUCUGGGUUUGUUGUACUUUAUUUAUUUGUACUGUCAUGUAAAUUUUUACAUGAAGGAACAGCGUUCUGAUCCACAAAGUGUAUCUUUUCAGAGAUAGAAGAAUGAAGCUCCCUUCUGGAGGUGUGGGAGCAUUUCCUCUCCAGAUUCACCGGGGAACACAGACAGACCUAUGGGAACACACGGGAACCUCUUUUAGAAAACCUGACAAGCGAAUAUGACUUGGAUCUUUUCCGAAGAGCACAAGCCCGGGCUUCAGAGGAUUUGGCCAAAUGUGUGUGGAAACACCCACCUGGUGAUGAGAUAUAUCGCAAAGGUUCAAUCUCUGUGUUUGAAGUGGAUGGCAAGAAAAACAAGAUCUACUGCCAGAACCUGUGCCUGUUGGCCAAACUUUUUCUGGACCACAAGACAUUAUAUUAUGAUGUGGAGCCCUUCCUGUUCUAUGUUAUGACAGAGGCGGACAACACUGGCUGUCACCUGAUUGGAUAUUUUUCCAAGGAAAAGAAUUCAUUCCUCAACUACAACGUCUCCUGUAUCCUUACUAUGCCUCAGUACAUGAGACAGGGCUAUGGCAAGAUGCUUAUUGAUUUCAGUUAUUUGCUUUCCAAAGUCGAAGAAAAAGUUGGCUCCCCAGAACGUCCACUCUCAGAUCUGGGGCUUAUAAGCUAUCGCAGUUACUGGAAAGAAGUACUUCUCCGCUACCUGCAUAAUUUCCAAGGCAAAGAGAUUUCUAUCAAAGAAAUCAGUCAGGAGACGGCUGUGAAUCCUGUGGACAUUGUCAGCACUCUGCAAGCCCUUCAGAUGCUCAAGUACUGGAAGGGAAAACACCUAGUUUUAAAGAGACAGGACCUGAUUGAUGAGUGGAUAGCCAAAGAGGCCAAAAGGUCCAACUCCAAUAAAACCAUGGAUCCCAGCUGCUUAAAAUGGACCCCUCCCAAGGGCACUUAAAGUGACCUGUCAUUCCGAGCCAGCGAACCCCAGCAGUAGGAAUCCGUACCCUAGGGAUCUGUCUGUCAUUUCUGUUGCUCUUGUGAUUGGCAAGUACAGUAUCCUUUGGGAAGGCCAUCCCCCUCAGGACUGUCCUGGCUCCGACCUUUGUGUACACUGCAGACGCUGGUUCUGAGGAACUGUUGUUUCGGCCUCAGUGAGGUUGCCUGGAUGGGAUCUGUAUUAGACUUGAGUGCAGGUCUCUCAGCACUGACCCAAGGAGUUCUGUUAUGGUACUGUACCUGUCCAGUCACUGGUUCUCUCCUCAUGUCC